CUAAGUCUGCGCCCUAACUUACACAGGUUUGGCAGCCUUAGUUCAAAGAAAGUAGUACUAAAUAUCGCCAAGAUAAGCAGCACGGAAAGAAGACAAUCGAGAUGACGCCCCGUGGCAAACUGACGCAAGAAUUGCAACGUUCUGUCAAACCUUGCAUGCGUUCGGAAGACAUAGACGCGGUGCAUGAAAUACCUCACCUGUGAUUUCGGCGAGCAUGUGGGCCACCAUUAAGCAGACGAGCAAGACCUGACAUUGUAUGAAAGGAGCCACUAGACGUCAUGGUGGGAGGUAGAUAUGGGGAGAAAAAAUGAACACUCAAGCAUCACCUUUCAUAUAGUUGGCGGUUGACGUGCAGAUUUUUCAACUGCUUCGAUGAUGAAUUCCCAUUUUCGGGCCUAUAGCAACGUUUGCUUAUCAAAAACCACGGUGGCCCUCUGCAGUAUAAAUUUAAAUUACGUACCAUUAGAACAAGUACUGAUGUUGUCCCAUCUCUUCGUUUAUUUUUAAAUAGGCUCGUUUUAAGAAGUUCUCCGUGCGCAUUGUGAUAUACCUGUCUUUGUUAGAUGCUUCAAAAUUUAUAUGCCAGAUAUUUAUGACGUGGUCGCAUGGACUUGUUACUUAAAACCUAGGAAUGUAGAAAGCGAUUGUAUUUCCGGCCGUUUACGUCGAAAGUGCCGCUUCCUUCUUUUAUACAAUGACUGAUGAAUAAAGAAAACCUAUUUUGUCAUCCCGAC
This is a long non-coding RNA of Rhipicephalus microplus (southern cattle tick), 734 nucleotides long. The record is from RefSeq and is a predicted model, not a curated record. Lineage: Eukaryota; Metazoa; Arthropoda; Arachnida; Ixodida; Ixodidae.